This 495-nucleotide ribosomal RNA is filed under the name uncultured bacterium. RNAcentral's name for it is "partial 16S ribosomal RNA". It matches the Rfam family "Bacterial small subunit ribosomal RNA", at positions 28 to 507 of the family's 1533-position model. The record is from RNAcentral.
GAUGAACGCUGGCGGCGUGCCUAAUACAUGCAAGUAGAACGCUGAAGGAGGAGCUUGCUCUUCUGGAUGAGUUGCGAACGGGUGAGUAACGCGUAGGUAACCUGCCUGGUAGCGGGGGAUAACUAUUGGAAACGAUAGCUAAUACCGCAUGACAACAGUUAUUGCAUGAUAACUGUUUAAAAGGGGCAACUGCUCCACUACCAGAUGGACCUGCGUUGUAUUAGCUAGUUGGUGAGGUAACGGCUCACCAAGGCGACGAUACAUAGCCGACCUGAGAGGGUGAUCGGCCACACUGGGACUGAGACACGGCCCAGACUCCUACGGGAGGCAGCAGUAGGGAAUCCUCGGCAAUGGACGGAAGUCUGACCGAGCAACGCCGCGUGAGUGAAGAAGGUUUUCGGAUCGUAAAGCUCUGUUGUAAGAGAAGAACGAGUGUGAGAGUGGAAAGUUCACACUGUGACGGUAUCUUACCAGAAAGGGACGGCUAACUACGUG